GGACCACCAGGGAAUUCCCGUGUUUUAUUUCUUGAAGAAACUUCUGACUCAUCUCCGUUACUCCUUCCUGCUCCACCUCCCCCGCCCCCGCCUUCUUUUCCCUUGGAAACGGCCUCAGAGAUUCCGGAAGGUGCUUCCUUACUUCUGAGCCACCUGCGUGGGAGGAAGCUGAGGACGUGAAGCUCCACCUCAGAUCAUCAGGGAUUAGAUCCCAGAGGUUGGGAACCCCUGUCCUAGAGAACCUGUCUGCAAAGCCUAAAAUAUUUGCCAGCUGGCCCUUUACAGAGAAAGUUUGUGGAUACCUGCUUGGAUGCACAGUGCUUGGUUUGGAGCGUGGCGACAGACGGGCUGAGCUGAGAACUGGAGCUGUCGGAAGGACGGGCACACUCUCCCAGUUCAACAAUCUGCCUGCAGGAAUCUGAAAGAGACUCAGGAUAUCUUAACUCUUCGAGGAAGCGGGCUUCUUAACUUGGAGUCCCUGUGGGGGUCACAGGUGAGGUAUCUGAAAUUGGACACAGAAUUUCUCGAGGUCAGCUGAGCGGACCCAGCAGGAGGUGGAGCCUGCCGUGACUGCAGGCUCAGAGGAUGCUGUACCCUCCAGGGAGUGACGGGAGGAGGAAUGUUUUCAGGGGGUGAUUCCUAGCGGAGUCUAGAAUCGUCCAAGUUUAAGAGUUCUCCCGGCCCAUUCCAUCCACUUUCUAGGUGGGAUAACUGAGGCCCAAAGUUGUUGGCGG
Bos indicus x Bos taurus (hybrid cattle) is the source of this 734-nucleotide long non-coding RNA. The record is from Ensembl. NCBI's taxonomy places the organism in Eukaryota, Metazoa, Chordata, Mammalia, Artiodactyla, Bovidae.